Long non-coding RNA from Mus musculus (house mouse), 1655 nucleotides. RefSeq annotates it as predicted gene, 53564. Lineage: Eukaryota; Metazoa; Chordata; Mammalia; Rodentia; Muridae. The record is from RefSeq and is a predicted model, not a curated record. The transcript has 3 exons.
AGCUAGCUAGACAACAGACUGCUAUUCCCUAAUUCCACUCCUGGUACAAUCUUCCUUCCCUCCUGCCCCUCUCUUUAUGUUAAUUCCUCCCACCAAACCCACCCACACAAGCCAAAGCAAGAGGCCCUAGACACUGCGGAUGUGGUGGGGCCAGGAACCUGGCUGAUACGUGUUCCCUGGUAACACCGAGGCAGGGAGAGGAAGAGCUUAUGGGUGAGGAGCUAGGCUCUCAGGAAGGAACGUACCCAUUGCUGCUGGUGGCUGGGUGUGAACAGGCACCUCGGUGCCACUAUACAUCUGCUCAUGUACCAGCCAAUAGCCACAAGGAUGAGAACACACACACACAGAGGCAUCGACUGGGGACAAACUCAAGCACACUGUGAAUCAUAGCUUGUGAGUGUGUGUGAUAAACCUGACAGCAUCCUAGACACAUCCCCCACGCUCAUAUACCUGAUGGCGGGAGGUGUGCAAGGAGAGCAGGCAGGGCUGGCACUUCACUCCUGCUGAGGGCACAUGUGUUUGUGUUCACAUACACGGGGAUGAUGGUGCUAGUGGUCUCUGCCUGGAGAACGGUGGGCAGAAGUUGGGGUAGGUUGGUGUCAGGAGCUGGGAUGACAUCCCCAGCGUGACCCCCAUCCUUGGCAGCUAUGAACCUGGGUACAGGCAUGGAAUGAGUAGCUCUCUGGAUAUGUGGGUGUGCAGGUGUGCAUGAAUGUAGUGACAGGGACACUAGGCGUGCAUGGCAGGGAGUGUGCAAGGAAACCAUGUCCCUAAGUGUGUGUAUCUGUGUGCCAGCUCUGAGGAUGAGUUAUGUACAGAGAGGGAAUGAGUGAUUCCCAGUGUGAGAGCCAGAGCCAGGCAAUGGAGCAGCAGGAACAGGGACCAGAGGGGGUGGGGGCACUGGCAAGCAGGACCGACCAGGGGGAGCAUGAAAGAGGGGUGUGUGAGAACAGCUGUGAAGGGCUGAGUGUGUGUGUGUGUGUGUGUGUGUGUGUGUGUGUGUGUGUGUGUGAAAGACACAGAGACGAAAGAGACUGGCAUCCAAGAUACACGAAGACCAUCUCCAACCAGCUGGCUGGCCGGGCCAGCUCCCCAGAAGGCAGCCCUUCUCCCCCCGCCCCCCUCCAGUUCUUCCUUAGACAGGGACACCUCUCCCCUCUAGCAACCCUCUCCCUGUCACUUUGAUUUGGUGGGAAGAAGAAUCCAGUAGCCCCCGAAGAAAAGGAGAACAAGAACAAAGUGGGGCUCAGUCUGUCUGGCCUUGGGAUGAAGACCAGCUUCAGGGCCCUGAGUCCAUCCCGAGGAAUAGCCCUGGCCCCUGAACCUUGAACACUGCAGCAGCAGCAGCAGCAGCAGCAGAAGAGGAGGAGAAGGAGCUGUGCCACGGGGUUACUUCGGUCUGGGACUCUGCCAAGAAAGUGGGAGCUGCCCCCUAGUCUCCCCCAGCAUCCACCACUGCCCUGAUAUCCUGUCUGAAUUCCGCGCUAUCGGCUGAGCGCUCAGGGUCAAGCUGUCUCCACAGCAUGCUGACCUCCAUCGUGAUACCUCCCCCUGCCCCCCAACUUCAGCCUCUUGGCUGUGUGCCUGGUUCCUACCUGCAAAGUGGCUCCAUGGAGGACAAUGCUCUCUCGCAGACGCACACCCUCGCCUAUGGU